RNAcentral lists this ribosomal RNA (496 nucleotides) under uncultured bacterium. RNAcentral's name for it is "partial 16S ribosomal RNA". It matches the Rfam family "Bacterial small subunit ribosomal RNA", at positions 29 to 507 of the family's 1533-position model. The record is from RNAcentral.
AUGAACGCUGGCGGCGUGCCUAAUACAUGCAAGUCGCGCGAACGGACGAGAAGCUUGCUUUUCUGAUGUUAGCGGCGGACGGGUGAGUAACACGUGGAUAACCUACCUAUAAGACUGGGAUAACUUCGGGAAACCGGAGCUAAUAUCGGAUAAUAUUUUGAACCGCAUGGUUCAAAAGUGAAAGACGGUCUUGCUGUCACUUAUAGAUGGAUCCGCGCUGCAUUAGCUAGUUGGUAAGGUAACGGCUUACCAAGGCAACGAUGCAUAGCCGACCUGAGAGGGUGAUCGGCCACACUGGAACUGAGACACGGUCCAGACUCCUACGGGAGGCAGCAGUAGGGAAUCUUCCGCAAUGGGCGAAAGCCUGACGGAGCAACGCCGCGUGAGUGAUGAAGGUCUUCGGAUCGUAAAACUCUGUUAUUAGGGAAGAACAUAUGUGUAAGUAACUGUGCACAUCUUGACGGUACCUAAUCAGAAAGCCACGGCUAACUACGUG